Molecule: ribosomal RNA, 492 nt
Filed under: uncultured bacterium
Lineage: Bacteria
Description: partial 16S ribosomal RNA
Rfam family: Bacterial small subunit ribosomal RNA
Source: RNAcentral
AGUGAACGCUGGCGGUAGGCCUAACACAUGCAAGUCGAACGGCAGCACAGUAAGAGCUUGCUCUUACGGGUGGCGAGUGGCGGACGGGUGAGGAAUACAUCGGAAUCUACUUUUUCGUGGGGGAUAACGUAGGGAAACUUACGCUAAUACCGCAUACGACCUACGGGUGAAAGCAGGGGAUCUUCGGACCUUGCGCGAUUGAAUGAGCCGAUGUCGGAUUAGCUAGUUGGCGGGGUAAAGGCCCACCAAGGCGACGAUCCGUAGCUGGUCUGAGAGGAUGACCAGCCACACGGGAACUGAGACACGGUCCAGACUCCUACGGGAGGCAGCAGUGGGGAAUAUUCGACAAUGGGCGCAAGCCUGAUCCAGCCAUACCGCGUGGGUGAAGAAGGCCUUCGGGUUGUAAAGCCCUUUUAUUGGGAAAGAAAAGCAGCAGGCUAAUACCCCGCUGUUCUGACGGUACCCAAAGAAUAAGCACCGGCUAACUUCGUG